Molecule: long non-coding RNA, 908 nt
Organism: Balaenoptera ricei (Rice's whale)
Lineage: Eukaryota; Metazoa; Chordata; Mammalia; Artiodactyla; Balaenopteridae
Exons: 8
Source: RefSeq, a predicted model, not a curated record
ACGUGCAACAUGCACACACCUGGCCGGAGGCUGCACGGCGCGGAGGGGGCUGUCGGUCACCCCCACCCCGCGGGUCGCCCCCAACACCUCCCCUCCGCCAGCGGCCCUCCAGCUGGGGCACCCCUCCGGACCCCACGUCCGCCGCGCACAGCCGGCUCCCGCUACCAGGUAUAAAAUAUUGGAAAGAAAGAAACAAACAAAAAGAGAGAAAAAAAAGAAUAGGCCUUUAACUGUGGUGUACAAAUUCAUAUAUUUGGAUAAAGAAAAAUGAAGGCCAAGAGAGGAGAGUGUGAGAGCUAAAUUGAAAAACAUUUGGAAUUCCUGGAGCAGCGGUCUUUAAACUGGGCUGAUGGAAUAAACCUGGCCUGGCAACAUCACCUCUCCUGGGCUCCAUUGUAUCAUUGCUGAGUUGGAAAGAGGGAGCAAUUGUCAGAUCCCCUGCUGGCCACUGUGGGUGAACCCCAGACCAUUAGCCCUGGACCUCAAAGGUGGUGUGUGUAUAUGAGGUGAACCUGGGAGAAAUCUCCUGUAACAGCAAGUGGAAUGUAAGGGUGCUCAGGGCAAGAGAACUGGGAGAACUCAUCAGACAAUAAACAGCCAGCCAAAGGGGGCAUUGCUCACCUCUGAGCCCCUGGCCUGGGCUGCGACCGACCUACAGAGACCACUGGAUGUCCUUCCUCAUCUAAACAGGAUAAAAUGACUGCAUUUGAAUUUCACUCACCCGAGCUGGUUCCUCCCCUCUGCCUGCAAUGACCCUGGAUUCUGGCUCACUUCUGGCCUCUUACUGAACACGUCACAGCUAAGACUAAGCACCAUGCAUCAGCUUCCACUGAUCCUGAAAGAAAAUACUGUUUGAAAAAAGCUUCUUUCGUGCACAGCUUCAAGAAAAUCAGAACACCAUUCACUUC